GUCUCUGUGGUUAAAUCGGUUAGCUUUGGCUGUUAACCAAAAGGAUGGUGGUUCGAGCCCACCCAGGGACG
Gymnothorax javanicus (giant moray) is the source of this 71-nucleotide non-coding RNA. Lineage: Eukaryota; Metazoa; Chordata; Actinopteri; Anguilliformes; Muraenidae. The record is from the annotation of a GenBank genome assembly.